RNAcentral lists this long non-coding RNA (313 nucleotides) under Urocitellus parryii (Arctic ground squirrel). Its description in RNAcentral is "lncRNA (ENSUPAG00010015883.1)". The record is from RNAcentral. Lineage: Eukaryota; Metazoa; Chordata; Mammalia; Rodentia; Sciuridae.
UGUGGCUCUGGCAAGAAUCUACCUCAGUCCUAAAAGCAUCAAGAGGCCAUCAAAGGGUUUACAUCAGUGCAUGACGUGGAGACUUCUCUGGGAUGCAAGUCACUUUGAGGGCCCCAGUGGACACAGACCCACCUGGACAGGAGCAGAGAGACAGCAGAGAGGGUACAUACACACCACAGCAAAGCUUCGGGGAAGGAGCCCACAUMGUGAAAACGAACACUGAACCAUUAUACUCUGUUACUCAAGGCGUCUGAACCGAACCUGAAGACCUCCCAACCAGCAAGGUGUCCAGGUCCACCCUCCUAUAUCACGG